UGGGGAAUAUUGCACAAUGGAGGGAACUCUGAUGCAGCAACGCCGCGUGCGGGAUGACGGCCUUCGGGUUGUAAACCGCUUUCAGCCAUGACGAAGCUUUUGUGACGGUAGUGGUAGAAGAAGCACCGGCUAACUACGUGCCAGCAGCCGCGGUGAUACGUAGGGUGCGAGCGUUGUCCGGAAUUAUUGGGCGUAAAGAGCUUGUAGGCGGUUUGUCGCGUCGAUAGUGUAAACACGCAGCUUAACUGUGUGCCUGCUGUCGAUACGGGCUGACUAGAGGAGGGUAGGGGAGAAUGGAAUUCCCGGUGGAGCGGUGGAAUGCGCAGAUAUCGGGAGGAACACCAGUGGCGAAGGCGGUUCUCUGGACCUUUCCUGACGCUGAGAAGCGAAAGCGUGGGUAGCAAACA
This 407-nucleotide ribosomal RNA is filed under the name Fusobacteriota bacterium. RNAcentral describes it as "Fusobacteria bacterium partial 16S ribosomal RNA". It matches the Rfam family "Bacterial small subunit ribosomal RNA", at positions 355 to 774 of the family's 1533-position model. Lineage: Bacteria; Fusobacteriati; Fusobacteriota. The record is from RNAcentral.